This 782-nucleotide ribosomal RNA is filed under the name uncultured bacterium. RNAcentral describes it as "bacterial SSU rRNA". It matches the Rfam family "Bacterial small subunit ribosomal RNA", at positions 58 to 824 of the family's 1533-position model. The record is from RNAcentral.
CAAGUCGAGGGGCAGCGGGGGUGCAGGCUUGCCUGCGCCUGCCGGCGACCGGCGCACGGGUGAGUAACACGUAUGGAACCUGCCCGCCACAGGGGGAUAACCCGGGGAAACCCGGCCUAAUACCCCAUGCCGCCCGGACCGGGCAUCCGGUCCGGGCGAAAGGAGGAAUCCGGUGGCGGCUGGGCAUGCGGCGCAUUAGCUUGACGGCGGGGUAACGGCCCACCGUGGCGACGAUGCGUAGGGGUUCUGAGAGGAAGGUCCCCCACACUGGAACUGAGACACGGUCCAGACUCCUACGGGAGGCAGCAGUGAGGAAUAUUGGUCAAUGGGCGCGAGCCUGAACCAGCCAAGUCGCGUGAGGGAAGACGGUCCUAUGGAUUGUAAACCUCUUUUGUCGGGGAGCAAAAGACGCCACGCGUGGCGUUCCGAGAGUACCCGAAGAAAAAGCAUCGGCUAACUCCGUGCCAGCAGCCGCGGUAAUACGGAGGAUGCGAGCGUUAUCCGGAUUUAUUGGGUUUAAAGGGUGCGUAGGCUGUGAGGUAAGUCAGCGGUGAAAUGCCCCCGCUCAACGGGGUGAAGUGCCAUUGAUACUGCCUUGCUGGAAUGCGGAUGCCGUGGGAGGAAUGUGUGGUGUAGCGGUGAAAUGCAUAGAUAUCACACAGAACACCGAUUGCGAAGGCAUCUCACGAAUCCGCGAUUGACGCUGAUGCACGAAAGCGUGGGUAUCAAACAGGAUUAGAUACCCUGGUAGUCCACGCUGUAAACGAUGAUGACUAACCGUC